GCCGGGCGUGGUGGCGGGCGCCUGUAGUCCCAGCUACUCGGGAGGCUGAGACAGGAGAAUCGCUUGAACCCAGGAGGCGGAGGUUGCAGUGAGCCGAGAUCAUGCCACUGCACUCCAGCCUGGGUGACAGGGUGAGACUCUGUCUCAA
Molecule: signal recognition particle RNA, 148 nt
Filed under: Pan paniscus (pygmy chimpanzee)
Lineage: Eukaryota; Metazoa; Chordata; Mammalia; Primates; Hominidae
Also listed under: 1 other name
Description: Metazoan signal recognition particle RNA
Rfam family: Metazoan signal recognition particle RNA
About the family: The signal recognition particle (SRP) is a universally conserved ribonucleoprotein. It is involved in the co-translational targeting of proteins to membranes.
Source: Rfam by way of RNAcentral